CCUCUGUCAACAGCAUAAUCCACAAAGCUAUAGAGUGGCACCACUCCAUCACCAUACUUCUCAAACCCAUCCAACUCCUGCUUAGCUUUGGUUUUAAGCUGCUCUGCCACCUCCAUAGCCUUCUCCACCCCAUACAUUUUCACAUAGCUGAACCCCUUCUUCUUCCCCUCUCUAUCACCAUCAUCUCCGCCCUUCAUCUUCUCCUCGAGAAUAUCGUCAACCACCCGGUACAAAACCCCGACAGCUCUCCCAUACCUCCUCAGCCUAUCCAACUCAUCAUCUUCAGCACCCCCCAGCAG
This 299-nucleotide long non-coding RNA is filed under the name Malus domestica (apple). Its description in RNAcentral is "long non-coding RNA (MDOM_LNC004886)". Lineage: Eukaryota; Viridiplantae; Streptophyta; Magnoliopsida; Rosales; Rosaceae. The record is from RNAcentral.